CCCCAAAAGUGAGGAUUUCUCCAAUCUUCCUAAUGCUUGCACUUCUUAUUUUUAUAGAUGUUGACUCCUCCUCUAUUACAAAAAUGAAGCCUGAAGAAGUAAAGAGGUUGAUGAGAGGUUCAUUGAAGAGGAAGUUGCCCUCUUCAUCCAUCGAUGCUCAGAAAAAGCCAAAGACUUCAGGUGAGAGUGACAAGAAAGUGGUCCCCCCCAACUCCAGCUCAAAUGGCUGCUAUUUCAAUUUCUCCCCUCCAAACUUGGCCCUUGAAGCCAGUCGCUCUCUCUGCCCCCC
Molecule: long non-coding RNA, 289 nt
Filed under: Elaeis guineensis (African oil palm)
Lineage: Eukaryota; Viridiplantae; Streptophyta; Magnoliopsida; Arecales; Arecaceae
Description: long non-coding RNA (EGUI_LNC041769)
Source: RNAcentral